RNAcentral lists this microRNA precursor (94 nucleotides) under Columba livia (rock pigeon). RNAcentral's name for it is "microRNA cli-mir-2984 precursor". Lineage: Eukaryota; Metazoa; Chordata; Aves; Columbiformes; Columbidae. The record is from miRBase by way of RNAcentral.
UGCUUCACCUGCGGAGCCUGCUGGGAGCGAAAUUGAGAAAGGACAGCGCCAGCCCAGGCAAUUUCACUCACAGCGGGCACUUGCAGGUGAAGCA